This 466-nucleotide ribosomal RNA is filed under the name uncultured bacterium. RNAcentral's name for it is "partial 16S ribosomal RNA". It matches the Rfam family "Bacterial small subunit ribosomal RNA", at positions 339 to 795 of the family's 1533-position model. The record is from RNAcentral.
CUACGGGUGGCAGCAGUGAGGAAUAUUGCGCAAUGGGGGAAACCCUGACGCAGCGACGCCGCGUGGAUGAUGAAGGCCUUCGGGUCGUAAAAUCCUGUCAGAAGGAAAGAAGUAUAUGGUAGCUAAUAUCUGCCAUAUUUGACGGUACCUUCAAAGGAAGCACCGGCUAGCGUCCGUGCCAGCAGCCGCGGUAAUACGGAGGGUGCAAGCGCUGUUCGGAAUUACUGGGCGCAAAGCGCGCGUAGGCGGCUGUUUAAGUCAGAUGUGAAAGCCCAUGGCUUAACCAUGGACGUGCAUUUGAUACUGGGCAGCUUGAGUACUGGAGGGGGUGGUGGAAUUCCCGGUGUAGAGGUGAAAUUCGUAGAUAUCGGGAGGAAUACCGGUGGCGAAGGCGACCACCUGGCCAGAUACUGACGCUGAGGUGCGAAAGCGUGGGGAGCAAACAGGAUUAGAUACCCCAGUAGUC